Molecule: long non-coding RNA, 319 nt
Filed under: Manihot esculenta (cassava)
Lineage: Eukaryota; Viridiplantae; Streptophyta; Magnoliopsida; Malpighiales; Euphorbiaceae
Description: long non-coding RNA (MESC_LNC008784)
Source: RNAcentral
AUAUACAUAACAUAGUCCCUCUGUGGGAUCUCAUCAAGCCUUAAAGGCAAAACAACCUGUGUUGAGUUAGUUUACAUAAACCUCAUAACAUAAGAUCAUGUACAUACAAAAGGGAUUAACAAUAUACUAUGGUCAAGCACAACUCUAUCCUCAAUAACCUCAUUACAUAACAUACUGAAUAUUUUUACAUUUCAUCAUAAUACAAUUGUCAUGUCCACAAUCUAACUAUUACAUGCAUAUGACUUUCUUUUUCUCUUCUUGCCUUCUCUAUCUAUCCCGUACCUGCAAACCUGGGGGUUAGGGGAGAGGGGUGAGCUAG